ACGCACGCUGGCGGCAUGCCUAACACAUGCCAGUCGCACGAACCCUUCGGGGUUAGUGGCGCACGGGUGCGUAACGCGUGGGAAUCUGCCCUUUGCUUCGGAAUAACUCAGGGAAACUUGUGCUAAUACCGGAUGAUGUCUUCGGACCAAAGAUUUAUCGGCAAGGGAUGAGCCCGCGUAGGAUUAGGUAGUUGGUGGGGUAAAGGCCUACCAAGCCGACGAUCCUUAGCUGGUCUGAGAGGAUGAUCAGCCACACUGGGACUGAGACACGGCCCAGACUCCUACGGGAGGCAGCAGUGGGGAAUAUUGGACAAUGGGCGCAAGCCUGAUCCAGCAAUGCCGCGUGAGUGAUGAAGGCCCUCGGGUCGUAAAGCUCUUUUACCAGGGAUGAUAAUGACAGUACCUGGAGAAUAAGCUCCGGCUAACUCCGUG
Molecule: ribosomal RNA, 432 nt
Filed under: uncultured bacterium
Lineage: Bacteria
Description: partial 16S ribosomal RNA
Rfam family: Bacterial small subunit ribosomal RNA
Source: RNAcentral